CGUAGGGGCGAGCGUUGUCCGGAUUUAUUGGGCGUAAAGAGCUCGUAGGCGGUUCGGUAAGUCGGGUGUGAAAACUCUGGGCUCAACUCAGAGACGCCACCCGAUACUGCUGUGACUUGAGUCCGGUAGGGGAGUAUGGAAUUCCCGGUGUAGCGGUGAAAUGCGCAGAUAUCGGGAGGAACACCAGUGGCGAAGGCGGUACUCUGGGCCGGAACUGACGCUGAGGAGCGAAAGCGUGGGUAGCGAACAGGAUUAGAUACCCUGGUAGUCCACGCCGUAAACGUUGGGCACUAGGUGUGGGUCUCAACCAACGGGAUCCGUGCCGCAGCUAACGCAUUAAGUGCCCCGCCUGGGGAGUACGGCCGCAAGGCUA
Molecule: ribosomal RNA, 373 nt
Filed under: uncultured organism
Description: bacterial SSU rRNA
Rfam family: Bacterial small subunit ribosomal RNA
Source: RNAcentral